Cyprinus carpio (common carp) is the source of this 366-nucleotide long non-coding RNA. RefSeq lists it as uncharacterized. Lineage: Eukaryota; Metazoa; Chordata; Actinopteri; Cypriniformes; Cyprinidae. The transcript is spliced from 2 exons. The record is from RefSeq and is a predicted model, not a curated record.
AUUAUGUGGAAAAUAAUGUGUUUUUUGAAUCUUAAACCGCAUAAACACAUUGUACUACACCAAAUACACCAAAUAAUGUUCUUUUUAGCAAUGUCAUAUGAUCCCUUUAAGUCAGUUUCUCAGCUAAAAAUAUCUGGCAUGAAGCAGCAUCAGUUUCUGUUCGCAGAACGUUCUCCACCCACAAGAGCCAUUACCAGUGUGUGAACACUUCCGCCACUUCUGCAGAAUAAAGUGGACUCAUUUUAUGUGUGUUCAUAUAGCUGGCUUUUAUUGCAAGACACUGUGGAAGUUGCUACAUACAGGAACUGCGUGACACAACAGUUUGUUUCCAGAUACACGGAUUGGCAGGAACAUGGUGAGAACCCU